UACGGAGGAUGCGAGCGUUAUCCGGAUUUAUUGGGUUUAAAGGGUGCGUAGGCGGGCAUUUAAGCCGGCGGUCAAAUGUCGGGGCUCAACCCCGUCGUGCCGUUGAAACUGGCGUUCUUGAGUGAGCGAGAAGUAUGCGGAAUGCGUGGUGUAGCGGUGAAAUGCAUAGAUAUCACGCAGAACCCCGAUUGCGAAGGCAGCAUACCGGCGCUCAACUGACGUUGAGGCUCGAAAGCGUGGGGAGCAAACAGG
This 252-nucleotide ribosomal RNA is filed under the name uncultured Bacteroidales bacterium. Its description in RNAcentral is "partial 16S ribosomal RNA". It matches the Rfam family "Bacterial small subunit ribosomal RNA", at positions 524 to 776 of the family's 1533-position model. The record is from RNAcentral. Lineage: Bacteria; Pseudomonadati; Bacteroidota; Bacteroidia; Bacteroidales.